This is a long non-coding RNA of Megalobrama amblycephala (Wuchang bream), 709 nucleotides long. RefSeq lists it as uncharacterized. The record is from RefSeq and is a predicted model, not a curated record. The transcript is spliced from 3 exons. Lineage: Eukaryota; Metazoa; Chordata; Actinopteri; Cypriniformes; Xenocyprididae.
UGUAUUUGUGUACAGAGGGUCACCAUGGUCCAAUAUUUGUUUUUUCUUUAAUGAAAAACAUGACUGGCGCAACUGGAUUGACACCAUUAGCCAUCCAAUACUUUUGUCCACACUCUCAUUGCAGGGCAUCACAGGAACUGUACAUUGCUGGUGUGAAUCUCACAGGAAGAUCAGGCCCUUCCUAAUGGAGUGUCCAACACAGCUUCUCAUCCAGGCCCUUGUCAUUUCUAGACUGGACUAUUGCAACGCUCUUCGAACAUCUGCAAUCUCUCUAACCCUAACUGGACAGCUGAAUCCCUGACAAUAUUCAAGAAAACUCAUCUCUUCCAUGAACACUUAAUGGCAUCCUGCUGACUCUUAAAAAACACUAUGCUUUCACUAUUAAAUCCCUCUCUGUUCUAGUUUGUACUAUUCUGAAUAAUGUUUGAAUCUUUGUAUUUUUUAGCACUUCUUGUGUUUAUUACCUCCUUAAGAUGAAUUGUUCCUUAUUUCUAAGUUGCUAUGGAUAAAAACGUUGGCUAAAAGAAUGUUUAAAUGGCUAAUUAAUAUUUCAAAAUUAUGAAUGCAAUAAUUCAUUACUAAACAGCAAAUGUUUAUUUUUCAUAUUGACCACUGAGAGCUAGUGCAUAUUUCCAUUGUUUUUAAUAUUGUGGUUGUUUUACAGUAAAUAACUUUUAUACCUGCUUUUAUGACUUUUAAAUAAAAACAU